CCCUUAGAUGUUCUGGGCCGCACGCGUGCUACACUGAGUAAAUCAAUGGGUAAGGGAACACGAAAGAGCAACCUAAUCUUGAAAUUUGCUCGUGAUGGGGAUCGACGGUUGCAAUUUUCCGUCGUGAACGAGGAAUACCUUGUAGGCGCGUGUCAUCAUCACGCGCCGAAUACGUCCCUGCCCUUUGUACACACCGCCCGUCGCUCCUACCGAUUGAGUGAUCCGGUGAGGCUCUGGGACCUGGACGGAAAGAGCGUUUCGCUUGUUCUGUUUGGGAAGCUUGGUCGAACCUUAUCAUUUAGAGGAAGGAGAAGUCGUAACA
Molecule: ribosomal RNA, 322 nt
Filed under: uncultured eukaryote
Lineage: Eukaryota
Description: partial 18S ribosomal RNA
Rfam family: Eukaryotic small subunit ribosomal RNA
Source: RNAcentral